UACGUAGGUCCCGAGCGUUGUCCGGAUUUAUUGGGCGUAAAGCGAGCGCAGGUGGUUUAUUAAGUCUGGUGUAAAAGGCAGUGGCUCAACCAUUGUAUGCAUUGGAAACUGGUAGACUUGAGUGCAGGAGAGGAGAGUGGAAUUCCAUGUGUAGCGGUGUAAUGCGUAGAUAUAUGGAGGAACACCGGUGGCGAAAGCGGCUCUCUGGCCUGUAACUGACACUGAGGCUCGAAAGCGUGGGGAGCAAACAGG
RNAcentral lists this ribosomal RNA (252 nucleotides) under uncultured bacterium. Its description in RNAcentral is "partial 16S ribosomal RNA". It matches the Rfam family "Bacterial small subunit ribosomal RNA", at positions 524 to 776 of the family's 1533-position model. The record is from RNAcentral.